RNAcentral lists this transfer RNA (86 nucleotides) under Paludibacter jiangxiensis. RNAcentral's name for it is "tRNA-Tyr". It matches the Rfam family "tRNA". Rfam says of the family: Transfer RNA (tRNA) molecules are approximately 80 nucleotides in length. Their secondary structure includes four short double-helical elements and three loops (D, anti-codon, and T loops). Lineage: Bacteria; Pseudomonadati; Bacteroidota; Bacteroidia; Bacteroidales; Paludibacteraceae. The record is from RNAcentral.
GGGCAGUUACCAGAGUGGCCAAAUGGGGCAGACUGUAAAUCUGCUAGCUUACGCUUACGGUGGUUCGAAUCCAUCACUGCCCACCC